Molecule: ribosomal RNA, 250 nt
Filed under: uncultured bacterium
Lineage: Bacteria
Description: partial 16S ribosomal RNA
Rfam family: Bacterial small subunit ribosomal RNA
Source: RNAcentral
GGAGGAAUAUUGGACAAUGGGCGCAAGCCUGAUCCAGCCAUGCCGCGUGCAGGAUGACGGUCCUAUGGAUUGUAAACUGCUUUUAUACAGGAAGAAACCCUCCGACGUGUCGGAGCUUGACGGUACUGUAAGAAUAAGGAUCGGCUAACUCCGUGCCAGCAGCCGCGGUAAUACGGAGGAUCCAAGCGUUAUCCGGAAUCAUUGGGUUUAAAGGGUCCGUAGGCGGUCAGAUAAGUCAGUGGUGAAAGCC